GAUGAACGCUGGCGGUAUGCUUAACACAUGCAAGUCGAACGGUCUCUUAGGAGAUAGUGGCGGACGGGUGAGUAACGCGUGAGAAUCUGGCUCUAGGUCUGGGACAACCACUGGAAACGGUGGCUAAUACCGGGUGUGCCGAAAGGUGAAAGGUUAACUGCCUGGAGAUGAGCUCGCGUCUGAUUAGCUAGUUGGUAAGGUAAAGGCUUACCAAGGCGACGAUCAGUAGCUGGUCUGAGAGGACGAUCAGCCACACUGGGACUGAGACAC
RNAcentral lists this ribosomal RNA (270 nucleotides) under Rhizonema sp. 'cyanobiont of Dictyonema sp.'. RNAcentral's name for it is "partial 16S ribosomal RNA". It matches the Rfam family "Bacterial small subunit ribosomal RNA", at positions 28 to 327 of the family's 1533-position model. RNAcentral also lists the same sequence under 1 other name. Lineage: Bacteria; Bacillati; Cyanobacteriota; Cyanophyceae; Nostocales; Rhizonemataceae. The record is from RNAcentral.